AGUGAACGCUGGCGGUAGGCCUAACACAUGCAAGUCGAACGGCAGCACAGGAGAGCUUGCUCUCUAGGUGGCGAGUGGCGGACGGGUGAGGAAUACAUCGGAAUCUGCCCAGUCGUGGGGGAUAACGUAGGGAAACUUACGCUAAUACCGCAUACGACCUUCGGGUGAAAGAGGGGGAUCGCAAGACCUCUCGCGAUUGGAUGAGCCGAUGUCGGAUUAGCUAGUUAGCGGGGUAAUGGCCCACCAAGGCGACGAUCCGUAGCUGGUCUGAGAGGAUGAUAAGCCACACUGGAACUGAGACACGGUCAAGACUCCUACGGGAGGCAGCAGUGGGGAAUAUUGGACAAUGGGCGCAAGCCUGAUCCAGCCAUACCGAGUGGGUGAAGAAGGCCUUCGGGUUGUAAAGCCCGUUUGUUGGGAAAGAAAUCUUUCAGGCUAAUACCCUGGGAGGAUGACGGUACCCAAAGAAUAAGCACCGGCUAACUUCGUG
Molecule: ribosomal RNA, 490 nt
Filed under: uncultured bacterium
Lineage: Bacteria
Description: partial 16S ribosomal RNA
Rfam family: Bacterial small subunit ribosomal RNA
Source: RNAcentral